GAGUAGCAUGGCAGACGGGUGAGGAGCGCGUAUCUGACUGGACUCAGGCUGGGUGGAUAGGGCCGUCGAAAGGGGGUUGAAUACCGCAUGUGCUCGGUGCUGUGAGGGCAUCGAGGAAAGUUGGCCUCUGCGGGCACGCUGAUGGCCUGAGACAGGUAUGCGUACUAUUAGCUAGCUGGUGGGGUAAGGGCCUACCAUGGCGACGAUGGGUAGCUGGUCUGAGAGGAUGAUCAGCCACGCUGGGACUGCGAGGCGGCCCAGACUCCUACGGGAGGCAGCAGUGGGGAAUUUUGCGCAAUGGGCGCAAGCCUGACGCAGCAACGCCGCGUGCAUGACGACGCCUUUCGAGGUGUAAAGUGCUGUCGACCGGGACGAAUGGGCGAUGGUGAACAGCUUUCGCGCAUGACGGUACCGGUGGAGGAAGCCCCGGCUAACUCCGUGCCAGCAGCCGCGGUAAGACGGAGGGGGCGAGCGUUGUUCGGAAUUACUGGGCGUAAAGCGCGCGUAAGGCGGUGCAGCAAGUGGUGCGUGAAAGCCCUCGGCUUAACCGGGGACGGGCGUGCCAAACUGUUGGACUGGAGUGCCGGAGGGGGAGGCGGAAUUCCUGGUGGAGCGGUGAAAUGCGUAGAGAUCAGGAAGAACGUCGGUGGCGAAGGCGGCCUCCUGGACGGACACUGACGCUGAGGUGCGACAGCGUGGGGAGCGAACGGGAUUAGAUACCCCGGUAAGUCCACGCCGUUAACGAUGGGUAAUAGGUGUGGGGCUUGUGAUGAGGCCCGUGCCGGAGCUAACGCAAGUAGUACCCGGCCUGGGGAGUACGGUC
Molecule: ribosomal RNA, 823 nt
Filed under: uncultured organism
Description: bacterial SSU rRNA
Rfam family: Bacterial small subunit ribosomal RNA
Source: RNAcentral